GUAGGGGAAGAGCAAGUGAACUGAACUUCUGCGUCGGUGUAGACUAUACUGUAGACUUAAAAUGCACCUAACUUUAAUCAUGCACUGUGAUUUCUUUUAGAGAAAAAACAAUUUGGAUGUUUGGAGAGAUGUCAGACAGGCUUCUGUCGGCGAAAAUGAAAGAUUCUUUCUUUUAAAAUUAAUCCAAAAGAAAACUUGGGACUGAUUGUGUGUGUUUAUGGUUCUCAAUAUAAUGUCUGAGAUCUAAAAGCAGGUAAGCCACUGACUAACGCACAUUGCGCCAGUUGUCAAUUCCACUGUGCGUGUGACAGCGGCUAACCUGGUUUUGGGAAUACAUCUUUGGCACGUCCAAGACCAGCCACAGCCGGACCAGACAGACACCUAUCUACAAGCAGUCCUUGAUCAUGUCCCGUGCACAUUGCUGGGACAGGCCUUGCUCAACAUGACUGCACUCCCAGCAGUCUCCAUGUGUACUGUAGCCUACUUCCUCCUAUGUUCUCAUACUGUCCCUAAUUUAGGGCCAGUAGCUUUUGCAUUGCCUUCUAUGGAGGCGACCUCUCUAAUGCCACCUACUGUCAAGACAAUUGGUGAGUGUUUUGUUUCAGUUACUGUUUCAUCUGUCUGGUUUAGACAUGAUAAUCAUCAUCAUACUCACUGGUUCCCAAUCUGAGGUUAGGGGCCCUCCAGGGGUUCUUGAAGAUGUUCCUGGGAGCUCUCCAGCAAAAAUGAGCAUUACUAUAACACUGAACUUGGUUUUAGAACAAAAUGGAUAAUUAUGUAGUAAUGAGUCCUCCCGUUUACACUAGUAGAGGCAGUUUUCCAGCUAUUUACUAAAUCUUGAAGCAAAUCUUGAGUUGCAAGUAAGAAAAUCCAAAUCAAUUGUAGCCAUACAUUAUGUACCAUGUAGUCAGUCAUGUUUGUAAAAAGCAGUGAGAAGUAAAAUUUCUAUUCAAAUCAA
Long non-coding RNA from Siniperca chuatsi (mandarin fish), 958 nucleotides. RefSeq lists it as uncharacterized. The record is from RefSeq and is a predicted model, not a curated record. The transcript is spliced from 2 exons. NCBI's taxonomy places the organism in Eukaryota, Metazoa, Chordata, Actinopteri, Centrarchiformes, Sinipercidae.